This 440-nucleotide ribosomal RNA is filed under the name uncultured bacterium. RNAcentral describes it as "partial 16S ribosomal RNA". It matches the Rfam family "Bacterial small subunit ribosomal RNA", at positions 338 to 795 of the family's 1533-position model. The record is from RNAcentral.
CCUACGGGGGGCAGCAGUGGGGAAUAUUGGACAAUGGGGGAAACCCUGAUCCAGCGACGCCGCGUGAGUGAAGAAGUAUUUCGGUAUGUAAAGCUCCAUCAGCAGGAAAGAAAAUGACGGUACCUGACUAAGAAGCCCCGUCUAACUACGUGACAGCAGCCGCGGUAAUACGUAGGGGGCAAGCGUUAUCCGGAUUUACUGGGCGUAAGGGGAGCGUAGACGGCAGCGCAAGUCCGGAGUGAAAUGCCGGGGCCCAACCCCGGAACUGCUCUGGAAACUGUGACGCUGGAGUGCAGGAGAGGUAAGCGGAAUUCCUGGUGUAGCGGUGAAAUGCGUAGAUAUCAGGAAGAACACCGGCGGCGAAGGCAGCAUACGGGACUGUAACUGACGUUGAGGCUCGAAGGCGUGGGGAGCGAACAGGAUUAGAUACCCGGGUAGUC